Molecule: transfer RNA, 87 nt
Filed under: Acidobacteriota bacterium
Lineage: Bacteria; Pseudomonadati; Acidobacteriota
Description: tRNA-Leu
Rfam family: tRNA
About the family: Transfer RNA (tRNA) molecules are approximately 80 nucleotides in length. Their secondary structure includes four short double-helical elements and three loops (D, anti-codon, and T loops).
Source: RNAcentral
GCGGAGAUGGCGGAAUUGGCAGACGCACUAGCUUGAGGUGCUAGCAAACGCAAGUUUGUGGGGGUUCAAGUCCCCCUCUCCGCACCA